UAAAGAAUAAGAAAUUUUGGUAAGUUUACCUUUUGUAUCAGGGGAAGUUAAAAGUAGAAGUAGUGAGAUAUCGAUUUAGGCAGAGCUUCGUAUAAGGUGGUUGUAGUUGAAUUUAUAAUUUUAAACAAAUUAUGAGGUGAAAAGUGCACGGUGCUUAUGGUAGCUAUUUGUUUUUUUUUUGAGGGGCAAGCUCUCAUUGACUU
This 203-nucleotide ribosomal RNA is filed under the name Gammarus stagnarius. RNAcentral describes it as "partial 16S ribosomal RNA". Lineage: Eukaryota; Metazoa; Arthropoda; Malacostraca; Amphipoda; Gammaridae. The record is from RNAcentral.